ACAGUGAUGGAAAGAUGAAAAGAACUUUGAAAAGAGAGUGAAAAAGUACGUGAAAUUGUUGAAAGGGAAGGGCAUUUGAUCAGACAUGGUGUUUUGCGCCCCUUGCCUCUCGUGGGCUUGGGACUCUCGCAGCUCACUGGGCCAGCAUCGGUUUUGGCGGCCGGAAAAAACCUAGGGAAUGUGGCUCUGCGCCUCGGUGUAGAGUGUUAUAGCCCUGGGGAAUACGGCCAGCCGGGACCGAGGACUGCGAUACUUGUUAUCUAGGAUGCUGGCAUAAUGGUUAUAUGCCG
This 290-nucleotide ribosomal RNA is filed under the name Nakaseomyces glabratus. RNAcentral describes it as "[Candida] glabrata partial 26S ribosomal RNA". It matches the Rfam family "Eukaryotic large subunit ribosomal RNA", at positions 350 to 647 of the family's 3401-position model. Lineage: Eukaryota; Fungi; Ascomycota; Saccharomycetes; Saccharomycetales; Saccharomycetaceae. The record is from RNAcentral.